RNAcentral lists this long non-coding RNA (222 nucleotides) under Capsella rubella. Its description in RNAcentral is "long non-coding RNA (CRUB_LNC002150)". The record is from RNAcentral. Lineage: Eukaryota; Viridiplantae; Streptophyta; Magnoliopsida; Brassicales; Brassicaceae.
AAAUUUGCAAGGAGCUUUUGAUAUUUUUUUUCACUUUUAGUUGGUAAUUAAAAAAGAAUGUUUGCAAGAAUUUUAUAAUUGUAAACUAAAACACCAUUUGCUUGUUCAAUAUAAAAAAAAAAACAAAAAAAAACACCACUUGCUUUACUUAAAGAGUACUUCGAAUACUAGCUAAUUCAACGCAUUUGGAACCAAAUAGCACUAUUUAAUUUUGUAUUUUGU